CAGAAAUGGUGUUCAGCAGGAAUCUGCACGGGCUGCUUCAGCCAAGCAGCAAAGGAAAGGCUUCAGCUCCGCCUCCUUUUUCCUGACACACUUCCUGUUUGGCUCAGAGGUUUGGGAAAUUUUGUGAAUUGUUCAGAUUGGAAUGCUGCACAAUGCAGUGCAGUCAAGUGGUCGCACAAAUGCACACGCGUCCUCCUCCUCUGAUCCACAGUUGGUGUGAAAUGGAAAUAAGCCUUAAUAAGAGUGUCACUUGCCAAGCAAAAAGAGGUCGGUGAAGAAUUAUUAAACUGCCAGUAUUUUCAACAGUCAUUAGGAGUAAUCACAAAUGUGUGAGUACUGUUUAGACAUGGGCGCAGUACUGUAUAUAGAUACCUGGAUAAUGUGAUAGGGUCUAAUAAUUAUGAAAUCAUUUCAUUACAGAGGCCCGAAGGCCAUCAACUCACCCCAUAUUGGGGGCGAUGUAUGCAAUGAGUCCAGACACGAUGGAAGAAGGUUUGAACAAUACGACGGAAUCU
Anguilla anguilla (European eel) is the source of this 515-nucleotide long non-coding RNA. RefSeq lists it as uncharacterized. The transcript is spliced from 3 exons. NCBI's taxonomy places the organism in Eukaryota, Metazoa, Chordata, Actinopteri, Anguilliformes, Anguillidae. The record is from RefSeq and is a predicted model, not a curated record.